CCUACGGGAGGCUGCAGUGAGGAAUAUUAGUCAAUGGGCGGAAGCCUGAACCAGCCAAGUAGCGUGCGGGAUGAAGGCCCUACGGGUCGUAAACCGCUUUUGCACGGGGAUAACACCCUCCACUUGUGGAGGUCUGCAGGUACCGUGCGAAUAAGGGCCGGCUAAUUCCGUGCCAGCAGCCGCGGUAAUACGGAAGGCCCGAGCGUUAUCCGGAUUCAUUGGGCUUAAAGGGAGCGGAGGGGGGCGUUCAAGUCAGCGGUAAAAUCGCGCGGCUAAAGCGCGCACCGCAGUUGAAACUGGACGCCUUGAGUGCACAACAGGAGAGCGGAAUUCGUGGUGUAGCAGUGAAAUGCAUAGAUAUCACGAGGAACCCCGAUUGCGAAGGCGGCCUGCCGGGGUGCGACUGACGCUGAGGAUCGAAGGUGCGGGUAUCAAACAGGAUUAGAUACCCGUGUAGUC
This 459-nucleotide ribosomal RNA is filed under the name uncultured bacterium. RNAcentral's name for it is "partial 16S ribosomal RNA". It matches the Rfam family "Bacterial small subunit ribosomal RNA", at positions 338 to 795 of the family's 1533-position model. The record is from RNAcentral.